This is a long non-coding RNA of Brassica oleracea var. oleracea, 766 nucleotides long. RefSeq lists it as uncharacterized. The record is from RefSeq and is a predicted model, not a curated record. Lineage: Eukaryota; Viridiplantae; Streptophyta; Magnoliopsida; Brassicales; Brassicaceae. The transcript is spliced from 4 exons.
UUAGGAGGAGGAAGAGACGUCGCUUACGCUGUCUCUUCUCCCCCGUUCAUGGCCAAUUCCCUCCUCCUGAAACAAGCACUUGAUCUCUUCUCUCCCGUCCAUGGCCAAUUCCCUCCUCUUGAUGCCGAAGCGUUGGAGCAGCCCCUGCUGCCAUUAGCCCCUGCUGCCAUUAAGGCGACAAAACCUUUGAAGAAAGGUAAGAGAGAGCCUGAGGAUGAUUUGGAUACCAAAGUGAACCUUACAUCAACUGCAGAAGAAAGACUUGGUAGCUGCUGUUCAAAAGGAAAAAGCUGAGAAGAAGGUGCCCAAGAAGGUGGAGAGCUCUGAUGAGUCUGAUUCCUCUGACUCUGAGGAAGAGGAGAAGUGCCAAACAAUUAGGACCGAUCUUGAAGCUCUUUGAUGCCGUUGGCGAGGGCAAGCCUUCCCCGCUUCUCCAUUGCUUUUAUGAUGGAACUUGGAGCACCGUCAAGCGCAGCUUCACUGUUGUCCAUGACUUUAAAGAUGUGUGCUUUCACUCCUACUUCUCACUUAUGGAUGAGAUUAGAAAAUGCCCGGAUCAGAACUAUCAUGAGAUAAGGUAUAUGAAUAAGCUCAUUCUUUCAGUUCCUUUUCCACAUAGAAACCAAGAGCUACUAGUUAGUUCAAUAUCAUUGAUCAAUUUGAAGUUUUUUGAUUGUGCAUUGUGGUAAAGUUUGUUGUAAUGAAAGUGUUUUAUAAUUUUUUUUAAGAACCCAUAACUAAGAGACUUGCAAUAAACCACUUAAAU